Molecule: ribosomal RNA, 305 nt
Filed under: uncultured bacterium
Lineage: Bacteria
Description: bacterial SSU rRNA
Rfam family: Bacterial small subunit ribosomal RNA
Source: RNAcentral
UCCUACGGGGGGCAGCAGUGAGGAAUAUUGGUCAAUGGGAGAGAUCCUGAACCAGCCAAGCCGCGUGAGGGAAGACGGCCCUAUGGGUUGUAAACCUCUUUUGUCGGAGAACAAAACCCGGGACGUGUCCCGGACUGCGUGUAUCCGAAGAAAAAGCAUCGGCUAACUCCGUGCCAGCAGCCGCGGUAAUACGGAGGAUGCGAGCGUUAUCCGGAUUUAUUGGGUUUAAAGGGUGCGUAGGCGGUCCGUUAAGUCAGCGGUAAAAUUGCGUGGCUCAACCCCGCCGAGCCGUUGAAACUGGCAGC